CCUACGGGAGGCAGCAGUGAGGAAUAUUGGGCAAUGGCCGAGAGGCUGAACCAGCCAAGUCGCGUGAGGGAAGACGGCCCUACGGGUUGUAAACCUCGUUUGUCGGGGAGCAAAGCGAGGCACGUGUGAGUCAUUGAGAGGACCCGAAGAAAAAGCAUAGGCUAGCGACGUGGCAGCAGCCGCGGUAAUACGGGGGAUGCGAGCGUUAUACGGUUUUAUGGGGGUUAAAGGGUGCGCAGGCGGAGGUGCAAGUCAGGGGUCAAAUUGCGGAGUGCAACCCCGUACUGCCGUUGAAACUGCAUCCCUUGAGUGCGCGAGAAGUAUGCGGAAUGCGUGGUGUAGCGGUGAAAUGCAUAGAUAUCACGCAGAACUCCGAUUGCGAAGGCAGCAUACCGGCGCGCAACUGACGCUCAUGCACGAAAGCGUGGGUAUCGAACAGGAUUAGAUACCCUAGUAGUC
Molecule: ribosomal RNA, 459 nt
Filed under: uncultured bacterium
Lineage: Bacteria
Description: partial 16S ribosomal RNA
Rfam family: Bacterial small subunit ribosomal RNA
Source: RNAcentral